Molecule: long non-coding RNA, 1341 nt
Organism: Drosophila serrata
Lineage: Eukaryota; Metazoa; Arthropoda; Insecta; Diptera; Drosophilidae
Source: RefSeq, a predicted model, not a curated record
UGUGAUAAUGGUACUUCAUCUGGCUCCAGAUUGACUGCAACUUAACUAAGUCUGUGCUCCCAGCUCCUCAAAAAAAAAAGAAAAAGAUUCAAGUGCUGAUCAUACCGCCAAGUGGAGGAACAUUUUUCGGAAUGCUGCGGAAAACAAAAGGCCGGUGUUUUGAGGGAAAAACGCCAAGAAUGAAUCUCAUUUCCCGUGGCCACAGCAGCAGCGGCGGCGGUCUGGGAAGUGGCCAAGUGACUCUAGGCCUGGCUAAAUGGGAACUUCGCACCGUGCCACUUACAGAAAAUAUGUGGUAAUUAUGCUGCCAGUUACAGACAAACAAACAGAACCGCCACGGAAUCAGCCGGGAGACGGAUGCGGAGUCCGGGUUUGGUGGACAGAACACAAUGUUGUAAAUUGUGCAGUUGUCGAGUGGAUUCUAUUAAUUGUUCGGUUAAACGUGAAUUUUCACCGGAACCGCUGGCAAGUUUUUUUUUUUCAUACUCAAAGUCAGAGAAAAAGGGACUGGCGGCCAAGAGACGACGGCAUUGGGACUUUGAGACCUGCAGCUCGUUAUACCCAUUGAAUUGUUGAAGUUAAAAGUCAGGUCUGUGCUCCCAGCUCCUCAAAAAAAAAAGAAAAAGAUUCAAGUGCUGAUCAUACCGCCAAGUGGAGGAACAUUUUUCGGAAUGCUGCGGAAAACAAAAGGCCGGUGUUUUGAGGGAAAAACGCCAAGAAUGAAUCUCAUUUCCCGUGGCCACAGCAGCAGCGGCGGCGGUCUGGGAAGUGGCCAAGUGACUCUAGGCCUGGCUAAAUGGGAACUUCGCACCGUGCCACUUACAGAAAAUAUGUGGUAAUUAUGCUGCCAGUUACAGACAAACAAACAGAACCGCCACGGAAUCAGCCGGGAGACGGAUGCGGAGUCCGGGUUUGGUGGACAGAACACAAUGUUGUAAAUUGUGCAGUUGUCGAGUGGAUUCUAUUAAUUGUUCGGUUAAACGUGAAUUUUCACCGGAACCGCUGGCAAGUUUUUUUUUUUCAUACUCAAAGUCAGAGAAAAAGGGACUGGCGGCCAAGAGACGACGGCAUUGGGACUUUGAGACCUGCAGCUCGUUAUACCCAUUGAAUUGUUGAAGUUAAAAGUCAGAAUUCGACUGUAUGAUUCGACAUUAUGAUGAUUUUUAAAUGUGCAAUCCAUCUGGAUGUCCAGGAAGGAACCAAAUCGAUGCUACCAUGAUAAAUCUAAUUGAAGACACCAUGGAUACAUACUCUACACUGGAAGGAAUUAUGCAUCGAUGAAAAAUGAUAACAGUGUCUCAUCUACUAAGGUUCUAACAUCCCCGGAACGAAGUGAGUGCU